RNAcentral lists this small RNA (74 nucleotides) under Tatumella morbirosei. RNAcentral's name for it is "tpke11". It matches the Rfam family "tpke11". From Rfam's summary of the family: In Yersinia located in ICR upstream dnaJ (chaperone)gene. Has temperature responsive RNA structure. The record is from Rfam by way of RNAcentral. Lineage: Bacteria; Pseudomonadati; Pseudomonadota; Gammaproteobacteria; Enterobacterales; Erwiniaceae.
UGUCGCUGCUAACCAGCACGGGCGUCGGAGAAUAUCCACGCCCGUGCGAUCAUGUUAAAGGCAAUGAAAAAUGG